Molecule: ribosomal RNA, 453 nt
Filed under: uncultured bacterium
Lineage: Bacteria
Description: bacterial SSU rRNA
Rfam family: Bacterial small subunit ribosomal RNA
Source: RNAcentral
UACGGAAGGCAGCAGUGGGGAAUAUUGCACAAUGGGCGCAAGCCUGAUGCAGCCAUGCCGCGUGUAUGAAAAAGGCCUUCGGGUUGUAAAGUACUUUCAGUCGUGAGGAAGGUGUUAAGGUUAAUAACCUUAGCAAUUGACGUUAGCGACAGAAGAAGCACCGGCUAACUCCGUGCCAGCAGCCGCGGUAAUACGGAGGGUGCGAGCGUUAAUCGGAAUUACUGGGCGUAAAGGGCACGCAGGCGGUUAAUUAAGUUGGAUGUGAAAUCCCCGGGCUUAACCUGGGAAUGGCAUUCAAGCUGGUUAGCUAGAGUCUUGUAGAGGGGGUAGAAUUCCGAUGUGUAGCGGUGAAAUGCGUAGAGAUGUGGAGGAAUACCGGUGGCGAAGGCGGCCCCUGGACAAAGACUGACGCUCAUGUGCGAAAGCGUGGGGAGCAAACAGGGAUUAGAUACC